RNAcentral lists this ribosomal RNA (327 nucleotides) under uncultured Bacillus sp. Its description in RNAcentral is "bacterial SSU rRNA". It matches the Rfam family "Bacterial small subunit ribosomal RNA", at positions 9 to 320 of the family's 1533-position model. Lineage: Bacteria; Bacillati; Bacillota; Bacilli; Caryophanales; Bacillaceae. The record is from RNAcentral.
GAGUUUGAUCUUGGCUCAGGAUGAACGCUGGCGGCGUGCCUAAUACAUGCAAGUCGAGCGAACUGAUUAGAAGCUUGCUUCUAUGACGUUUAGCGGCGGACGGGUGAGUAACACGUGGGCAACCUGCCUGUAAGACUGGGGAUAAACUUCGGGAAACCGAAGCUAAUACCGGAUAGGAUCUUCUCCUUCAUGGGAGAUGAUUAGAAAGAUGGUUUCGGCUAUCACUUACAGAUGGGCCCGCGGUGCAUUAGCUAGUUGGUGAGGUAACGGCUCACCAAGGCAACGAUGCAUAGCCGACCUGAGAGGGUGAUCGGCCACACUGGGACU